RNAcentral lists this long non-coding RNA (3188 nucleotides) under Triticum aestivum (bread wheat). RNAcentral describes it as "long non-coding RNA (TAES_LNC020647)". Lineage: Eukaryota; Viridiplantae; Streptophyta; Magnoliopsida; Poales; Poaceae. The record is from RNAcentral.
UAAUUAGCAGAUGGAAAACGUGAGGUGGUAGAAGUAGAUUGAACAAAGUAGAGAUCGGAUUGACCCCUGAUUGAUCAAGAAUCAAAACGAAGCUAGCGCCCUGGGAAUCAAGUCAGCCAGAACACAUGCAAUCAACGAUCCAAAUGAUGGAACGCAGGAACUCAGAUAUGCGCCAAUCAUAAGAUGACUUUUCUGAAUAUUUAUCUGUAUCAACUCCAACCUAAACCUAGACAACGCUGCCCCUUGCUUAUAUAGGUGGUGCCUAACAAUUGGGCCUAGACCGACCUGGACUAGGAAAACGAUGAGGACUCCUCACGUUACAACUUGUACGUAGAAACUAAAAAAACCUACAAAAACCAAUUAAACUAGAAAACAAAUAAAAAGGACACGCCUCCUCUGUCAUGGCAUUUUGUACGCUUGAUUCAUCCAGGACCCAUGUACGUAUAUUGGCCUUCGUACAAAUAUUGGCAAGGUGUUCUGAACAUAGGCUUCACUUUCUCCUGAGGCACGAUCCGAGGAGCAACUUCAGUAGCAUAUGGAACAGGCAUCAUACCUAAGAUUCCUCUCUAUUUUGUAGCACACAUUAUCUUCUUAUGACGCAGAGCAGGAACCACAUAUUUUUGCAUCUUAUUUUCAUAGCCAGACUCUCGCUUGGAAAAUACUUUACUUGGCGAUAAUGGUGAAACGACAAGAGUACCUGGGGUGACCGCAUCAUCCUCUCCCCCUUCAAACGAAAUCGUCCUCGGUUUCGGAGCACCCUUCAAAACAUUCUUGUGUACAAACAUAUGAUCAACCUUGAUAGCAUUAUUACCCAUGGGCUGCAGCACACGUUUGAUGCCAACAUCUCGGAACACGUAAGUGUUUGACCUCCCCUCAUGUAUAGCGUUGCGAUCGUAUUGCCACGGACGACCCAAUAGUAAUUGGCACACAUCCAUUGGCACGACGUCACAAAUGACCUCAUCAUAAUAUGUGCCAAUAUUGAACUUUACGCGUACCUUGUGAGUCACCUUCAAACGUCCGGAGUUGUACAACCACUCAAUGCAAUGUGGCUGCGGAUGUGGCCAUGCCUUCAGUCCUAAAGCAUCCACCACACGCUUGCUUAUGAUGUUGGUGUAGCUCCCUCCAUCAAUAAUCAACUUGCAACACUUGUUUUUGAUCUUGCAUUGUGACUGAAAAAUUUUCCACCACUGUCCCGAACUUGGAAUUUGAUCCUCUUUAGCUCGCUGCACCAUGAUGCAUGGCAGGUCAUCAUAAUCUAGAGGAUAGCACAUGAUAGGAUUAGAUUCACUUUCCCCUUCCUUGGGCUCAUCAGACUCUGAGUCAAUUUUGUCUUCGGAAACAUAUCCAUCAUUAACAAGGAGCACUCUCUUCUUGUUCGGACAAUCAAUGCGUUUGUGUCCCCUACCUCCACAUGUGUAACAAACAAUCUCACUAGUACGCAUAGCAGACUGCGCACUUGAAUCAGCCCUUGAAGCCACUUUGCUCGCGGCCAUAGAUUCUUUGCUCAUCUCCUUGUGAUUGGUAGCAGCUGACCUAUAGGAUGAAGCUGGCUUGACAUUAUCAUCGUCAUGCGAAUAGGAAUGUCGCCCCAUGCUAAAAUUGGUGCGGCCUUUGGAAACUUGCUUGGCUUUGACCCACUGUUCGGCACGCUCCGCCUGAUGAAGAAGAUCUUGCAUAUCAUUAUACUGCAUCAAAUCAACACGGUCACGUAUAUCCUCAUUCAGCCCCUCAAAGAAGCGUGUCAUUGUUGCAUCAUCAGACUCAUGCACAUUAGUUCUGAUCAUCAGAACUUGCAUCCGUUGGUAAUACUCAUCCACCGUCAUGGCUCCUUGAACAAGACGGCGAAGCUUUGUGUGUUGCUCCUUCUGAAAAUAAGCUGGCACAAAGCGAGCACGCAUUGUACGCUUCAUCUCACGCCAUGACUCUGGUCGUGCGUCAUUGCGGUUGAGCUGAUCCCACCAAAUUAAUGCAUAACCUGAAAAUUCAAGAGAAGCAAAACGAAUCUUCCGCUCCUCGGAGUAACGGUGAUUAUCAAAAAUCUGCUCCACACGCAUCUCCCACUCAAGAUACUCCUCGGGACCGGCCUUGCCUGUGAACGAAGGUAUAGUAAUUUUUAUUCUACCAAUACCUCCGUCCUCGUCCUCAUCGCGGCUCUGCCUUGGUCCAUCAUCACGGGGACGAGCAUCCUGUCGUGGUCGGCGAGGCAAGUCGCCGCGAGCAUCAGAACCAUCCUCGAACUUAGCAUCAUUGUCGUCGUUGGUAACGUCCGCGUCACGGAUAUGUUGAGGUGCUCGCUGCUGCAGGGCAUGUUGUUCCCUCGCUGGAGCAGCCGCGCCGGUUGCCCUUGCCUCUAGGCGACGGAGGGCUGCUUGCAUGGCCUGGAACCCAUCGGUCACCGUCUCGUCGAGGGCCUUCAUGCGGUUGUCGAAGUGCUGGUAUGUAGCCUUGAACAUAGCACGGACACCUGGGUCCAGAUCGGGACCAUAUUGCGGCGGCCCAUCAUCCUCCUGCACCUCAUCCGCGUCACGCUUGCUUGCAGUUGACAUCGCGCAGUGAUAAACCUGGCGCUCUCUGAUACCAGUUGAUAUGCCUCAAAUAGCUUUGAGACGAUUUUAUGGGUGGCCCUGAUCUCUUACUGACGCAAAGAGCUAGCAGAGUAAAACUUGAAUGGAAGGAGAUGAAUUAGAACAUGCCGAAUAUAUAUAGCUGCAGUGGUGAUUCUGUACGUGAACGAGUAGUAGCUAGCUAGAUGGAUUGGUUUAGACAAAUGAUGAUCAGCGGCGGCGGCGGCGACAGAGUAAUUAGCAGAUGGAAAACGUGAGGUGGUAGAAGUAGAUUGAACAAAGUAGAGAUCGGAUUGACCCCUGAUUGAUCAAGAAUCAAAACGAAGCUAGCGCCCUGGGAAUCAAGUCAGCCAGAACACAUGCAAUCAACGAUCCAAAUGAUGGAACGCAGGAACUCAGAUAUGCGCCAAUCAUAAUAUGACUUUUCUGAAUAUUUAUCUGUAUCAACUCCAACCUAAACCUAGACAACGCUGCCCCUUGCUUAUAUAGGUGGUGCCUAACAAUUGGGCCUAGACCGACCUGGACUAGGAAAACGAUGAGGACUCCUCACGUUACAACUUGUACGUAGAAACUAAAAAAACCUACAAAAACCAAUUAAACUAGAAAACAAAUAAAAAGGACACG